AACUAUUUACCAAAAACAUAUAUAUACACAAAGUCGUAAGACCACAAAUAGGGACUGACGCCUACCUAGUGCCGAAGGGUCAAAGAAGUUGGUGACCUGAAGACCUAGGCGCCGUGACCGAAGCCCCGAUGAAUGGCGGCUAUGACUAUAAUGAUCCUAAGGUGGUAAAAAUUUAAAUAGAAAAUUAUCUUUAUUCCUCCAUUAUGCACU
Molecule: ribosomal RNA, 210 nt
Filed under: Olea europaea subsp. europaea
Lineage: Eukaryota; Viridiplantae; Streptophyta; Magnoliopsida; Lamiales; Oleaceae
Description: LSU_rRNA_bacteria
Source: RNAcentral